Molecule: long non-coding RNA, 1464 nt
Filed under: Bos taurus (domestic cattle)
Lineage: Eukaryota; Metazoa; Chordata; Mammalia; Artiodactyla; Bovidae
Description: long non-coding RNA NONBTAT024018
Source: RNAcentral
GUCUGACAAGCUGCAUCCAUGAUUUAUUGUAAGGAGAUUAUUAUAAUUGAUAGCUUCUUUAUGAUGGGAUUGCUAGUAUCAUCUGUUCUUGCUGGUUCCUUUUAAAGAAACAGACUCAAACUAUAAAGGCAGCUGCAGUUUCUAAAGAAACAGAGUGAUUUCCAGAGAAGAGCCAAAAGGUUUCAGUGUUUUAAGACCUUUCAGGAAGGAAAGAAAGCUUCGGAGAAUAAAGGUGAGUAUCCGUGAAGGGAGUACCAGGUGCUACCCAGAAAUCUGGAAAAAGUGAAAGAAUGUGUUUGCCAGGCAGGGUAGCAGCUCCUUGGGUUCAGUAGGAGCAAGAGGAAGGAGCCUUCACCCCUUUCAUUAAAGACAACUGCCGGUCUGCUCUUAACUGCCACUGCCAUAUGUUUAACUUCAGCUUCCUCACCAAGAGUGAAAAUUUAGUUCUUUGGGUCUUCAGUUUAAAUCUACUAUAGGUUUUCGGUCAUCAGCUUUAACUCCGCUGUCUUCUCUGGGCUACCUUAGUUCUUACCAUGGCAUGUGGAGUUGCCAUUAAUGAGUAAUAUCUUUGGGGAGUAAAUUCUUUUCUUCAGCUUUUUCAGGUUUAAAGGGUGGUAUUAAAAUAGAAACCCUAAGUUGCUCUCUGAAGGGAAGAUAGACUCUUUGAAAACAAUCCCACUGUGUGCUUGUGGCUUUUCUGUCCUCUUUUCUCACUUCCUGCUGUACAUUUUUCAGGCCCCAGAGGACUGUUUCAGGGGCUGCUGCUUCCCAGGUGAGGAACCCUUGCAAGCAGUUCCAGGUAACUUAUUUUUUUUUUAAGACGCUUUCAUUGAAUUACUGCAGUCAGAUGCGUAAACUUCCUCCCCUUCUUAAAACAGAGCCUUACAGAGGAAACUUUUAAAGGUGGACCAUCCUAAUGCCAUUUUUGCAUUAAAUGAGAACCUUAACACCAGAUCAAGGCCAGUUGGUACCAAGUAAACAGUGUGGUUUAUUUCAGAAGGGUUUGUAAGGCUGGAGUAAAGCUUAGGGCAGUUUUCUUCAUAAUCUCGGUCCUCUGAGUGUUAGCUUUUGAGUAUUAGAGGAGUGUGGUUAGCUUCUCCCACCUUCGGGGUCUGUAAAGUUCCCACAGUCUGGUGUUUGGCGGGGUAGAUCUUCCCCACAUCCCCAUUGUCUUUCAUAGGAAGACCACUUAAGUCCAAUCGAGGAGAUGGGAGAGUCCGUACCCAGGCCUAUAGGGUUGCAGCAGUCUGUGACCAGCAGCUCCUCUAUCCAGAUGGCCAGGUAUGUCUUUACCUCAAAAGGGACAACUCAUGAAGAGCUAGCGACAGAGUUGUUUCAAUUCUCCCUGUUUGGCCUUUGUACAAUUUCAACUAGCAGGUAUAAGAAAAUCGUCUUUCAUUUCAUCAGAAAUCUACAGGCACAUCCUCUCUGUCUGUGGUUAACUCCUCUUCUCUUUGGGCUCCA